GCGGAUAUAGUCGAGUGGUACAAUCUCUCUUUGCCAAGGAGAAGGCGUGGGUUCGAUUCCCACUAUCCGCC
This 71-nucleotide transfer RNA is filed under the name Pelargonium myrrhifolium. RNAcentral describes it as "tRNA-Gly". It matches the Rfam family "tRNA". From Rfam's summary of the family: Transfer RNA (tRNA) molecules are approximately 80 nucleotides in length. Their secondary structure includes four short double-helical elements and three loops (D, anti-codon, and T loops). The record is from RNAcentral. Lineage: Eukaryota; Viridiplantae; Streptophyta; Magnoliopsida; Geraniales; Geraniaceae.